ACCAAUUUUGGGGGGGCUGUGCUACUGUCCAGUGAGUAUGUAGCGAGGGCAAUACUGCUAACACCUACACAACACUCCUCAUCAACUAGAACUUUGCUUCACAUUGGUGCAGAAAAAGAAAAA
RNAcentral lists this non-coding RNA (123 nucleotides) under Otolemur garnettii (small-eared galago). The record is from RNAcentral. Lineage: Eukaryota; Metazoa; Chordata; Mammalia; Primates; Galagidae.